Molecule: non-coding RNA, 2658 nt
Organism: Myodes glareolus (Bank vole)
Lineage: Eukaryota; Metazoa; Chordata; Mammalia; Rodentia; Cricetidae
Source: RefSeq, a predicted model, not a curated record
UCACUGAGAUCCUCUUGCUUCUGCCUCCCCAGUGCUGGAAUUAAAGGUGUGCGCCUCCACCGUUCAGCCUAUCACUCAUAGCUCAACUAUGCUUAAUGACUGAAAGCAAAGUAGCCUAAGUCAGUGAGCGGCCGCUGACAGAUCAUAGCUCCGCCACCUACUAGCUGAUCUUGUUGCUCAAACUCAGAUCCAGUGUCACCAUCUGGAAACUGAGCAACACCCACUUCCAGAUGGUUGUUAGGAUUAGAGACAAGCAGGUGAGGUGCUUGAUAGAGCUCAGUGUGACGUAGUAACUCAGUAAGUGACAGCCGGAGGAGUCUAGGGAUGAAGAGCUGCUGUGAUGUGGACAGCAAAGUGCCACCCCCAAUGGGCUGAUUACACAUGCACCAGGGAGACUGAAGAAGCCACUUAAAGAGUCCGUGACAGAUUCAAAGCCAAGCUCAUAAAUGCUACUUCCUGGAUGUUGAGGCGCCUGUAAACAUACCCUAAUCUAAUUUCUGCUUAUAUCUUUAUGAUUCAAUUCUAUUUUGUAACAGAAGCAGACAUUCCCAGCAACUCAUUUCUAGGAGAUUGGCAAAAUUUAUGGCCCAGGCAUUGAGUCUCAGUCUCUGUGCCUGGGUCCAAGAGCUUACACCAGGACGAGCAUUUCAGAUCAGUGCAUCCCUGUCUGGCUGUGCUGUGGAGUUUCUCUGUAGACAGGAUGCCUUCUUCAUGCUUUUCAAACAUGUUCCAGUUGAUAAAACCCAAGGGCACAGUUUCCAGGGAUGCAGCUACUGGGUGGAGUGAAGCGAACCAUGAAGAGCUGAAAUAAAGGAGCAAGAUUUACUGAACACAGGCUUUUGCAGGUGCCAGGCACUUUCCCUGUUAUGAUCAAUGAGGAAACUGGAGUUCACAGAGAUUGACGAGAUCACCGGCCCGAAAGAACUGGGAUUGCAACUCAAGUGACACCACAUGGAUCUUUGCUGGUCAGUAAAGUGGAUGAGCUGACAAUUGAUUUUUUAAAAAAGUCUGCAGGUACAAAGCACUUUGAAGACGCAAGGCUUUAACUUCGUGGAGAACUUUCUGGAACCUGUAGUCCUUUGUACCGUUCCUGGGGUCCCCAGGUCACUGCAAGGCUGAGUGACUGUCCCUUAAGGAAUGUUUGGACACUUCCGUGCUUCAGGUCAGGCUCACCUAGGUUUAGCGCAGAAGCUAAUUCUACUUUGGAGACCCUGCUAGAACGGUUGGGGUGUCCUGAGAGGAGUGGCUGCCAUGAGAAGAGGUUUGGAGUCUUCCUCCCAGGUCCCGCUCCAUUUCAAGCUUCAGGUGAGUUGUGUGGUGGCAUGGGAGGCAGAGACUCAGAACUAUGCCGGUCAUUUUGUUUUCCUUAAUUCUACUGUUGAGGGUUCAGGUGAUUUUCUAACCUAGCAGCCUCCAGCAGUGAACCUCCAGGGAACAGAUGUCUGUCUCCAGCAAGCGACAGUAGGGGGCGCCAAACCCGCACAAUUUGGCCCGCGGACCCUGCCUGGCAGUGACUGGCCCCGAGGCACCCCCUUUUCUGGACAUUUCGCAUAGAUUCCCACAGCGGUGCAGCAGAGAACACACUUUGUGCAGGCGACAAACAGCCCUCUUGUCCCAGCCGUUGCCUUAGAGAGUCGCAGGGGCCUUCACCCCACAGACAGAAUCAUCGUGUCAGCUUAGAUUUCUGUUAGCUCUUAAGGCAGGUCCAGAGUCCAGGACCCCGGGGAUGAUGUACCAGAACCGGGCCAUGCUUGUCCAACCCCUAAAGUUAUUUCAAAGGCUUUGCAAUGUUUUCAUUUGUACACAAACUGGGAAAAGCUGCGGAGUUUUGGCCCCGAGCGUUUAAGGCUGUCCUUGGUCAAACACAUUUCCAGUUCUCCUCCCCGGGAGUUGACACACAAAUCUACUUGCCAACAUUUGCUUAGUAAUUUAUCUCCCAGGCUUGCAAAAGUUAUAUAAAGAAGCCAACUACCCCGGGUGAGACUUUUAUGUUUUUGAAAUAUAUAUAUAUAUAUAUAAUUAGCAUUGGGACCCAAGAGACAGUUCAGCUUUAAGAGCCAGUAUUUAAGAAUUGUUGCAAGCACAGGACCCAGUACUCACAAGGGGAGUUCAUAGCUGCCUGUAACUCCAGCUCCGGGGUUAUCUGGAUUCCUUUGAUUGUCACAGGCACCUGAGCUCACAUACACCUGCCUACCCCUCUCUACACAUAAUGUAAACAAAUCUUUAAAAAAAGAAUCAGCAUCAAUAUAGAAGCUCCUCACCCCCCAUCCUCCUCCUCUGCACUGCUUUCCACAGCUUUGCUUUUCUCCUGUGGGGCAGAGGCCUGAGGGAGGACUGAGGCGGAGGACUGAGGCGGAGGACUGAGGUGGAGGACUGAGGCGGAGGAUUGACGUGUCUUAGUUCUCCCACAUUCACAUUUCGAGAGGCAGAUUUCUUCCAGACUCCCGAGGACGCAGAGAUUAGGAAGCUGCCUUUUGUAGCGCUUCAAACACUCAGUGCGGCUCUUUUCACGUGGCUUCGCACUCCAGUGGAAUGGAAGGACAUGUUCUUUCAGGACAUUGCUUCAGGUCCUGCCUCCAGGUUCCUGUCUUGAGUUCCUGCCCUGAAUUCCCUCAGUGAUGGAGUGUGGCCUGAGAGCUGUAAUAUGAAAUAAAUCCU